UACGUAGGUGGCAAGCGUUGUCCGGAUUUAUUGGGCGUAAAGCGCGCGCAGGUGGUCCUUUAAGUCUGAUGUGAAAGCCCACGGCUCAACCGUGGAGGGUCAUUGGAAACUGGGGAACUUGAGUGCAGAAGAGAAGAGCGGAAUUCCACGUGUAGCGGUGAAAUGCGUAGAGAUGUGGAGGAACACCAGUGGCGAAGGCGGCUCUUUGGUCUGUAACUGACGCUGAGGCGCGAAAGCGUGGGGAGCAAACAGG
Molecule: ribosomal RNA, 253 nt
Filed under: uncultured bacterium
Lineage: Bacteria
Description: partial 16S ribosomal RNA
Rfam family: Bacterial small subunit ribosomal RNA
Source: RNAcentral